AAGGGGAUCCUAUUGGUUUCUGCGUUGAUAAGAUUGGUUGGAUCUGAAUCCCCUAGAGGACCGAGACAUUGAAGGUGUGGUUGAUCGGUGGGGAUGACAAUUUUAUUGGACAACUCCUAGUGAUUUUGGGGGAAUAAAAAUACAAAGAAAAAGGAAAAGGAGAAUAUUCAGUAAGAUGAAUCGCGGAUGAAUAGGAAUAAAAAAAAUAUACACAGAAGAUGAGAUGGAAAUCUGACCUCAGGGACGACGAAGCCAAUGGCCAUCUUGUCGUGAAGAGGACGUUGGAGGGCACCGGAGUUGAUGAAGAGGAGUGCUUGUCGGAGGUCUUGAAGGUUGUAAAUGGCGCCGCCGCUGGAAAAGUAAAGUUGGAUAGUAGAA
Molecule: long non-coding RNA, 378 nt
Filed under: Sorghum bicolor (sorghum)
Lineage: Eukaryota; Viridiplantae; Streptophyta; Magnoliopsida; Poales; Poaceae
Description: long non-coding RNA (SBIC_LNC013933)
Source: RNAcentral